Molecule: small RNA, 78 nt
Filed under: Methylobacterium sp. B4
Lineage: Bacteria; Pseudomonadati; Pseudomonadota; Alphaproteobacteria; Hyphomicrobiales; Methylobacteriaceae
Description: suhB
Source: RNAcentral
CGUGCACGGCUGAGGCCAUUCCAUCGCAAAGCCUGAAGAGGGCCGCCCUGUCCGGGGCGGCCCUUUUUUGUUACGAUU